RNAcentral lists this long non-coding RNA (863 nucleotides) under Polistes fuscatus (common paper wasp). Its description in RNAcentral is "uncharacterized LOC122516215". Lineage: Eukaryota; Metazoa; Arthropoda; Insecta; Hymenoptera; Vespidae. The record is from RNAcentral.
ACUCAUCAGUUAAAAGUGAUCUUCCACGUGGACAAGUUGUGUUUUUGCUCAGUUUGUGUAUUUCUCAGUGUGUAUAGUUUAAUUAAUUAAAGUAAAAAAUGCCUCGUAAAUUAGCAGAGAAACUCGUAGAACUUCCAGUGAACAGUUGUCUCGAAGAAAUAAACGGAAGAACGUUUUUAAUCCGAAAACCGUGGAAUAUGAUGAUAGCAGUUUGAUUAUGAGGCCUUACCACCUGAUGUUGCAACAGCUAUUUUUCCAAUUUACGAAGAUCUAAGUAACAAAAAUUAUUGGAACGAUGCGUUGGUGGUUUUACCCAGAACAAUAAUGAAAGUUAUAAUCAGCUGAUAUGGAAAAUAACUCCAAAAAUUAUUCCAGCUGGCUCUAAAAUUGUGGAAAUAGCUGCAAACAUUGCAGCCGGGGUCUUUAAUGAAGGUAAAACAUCUCUUCUUUAUUAUAUGAGUGCUAUGGGAUUAUCACUUGGACCCAAUGCUCAUUCCUUCGUGAGUAAAGAGGACGCAGAGCGCAUCUCAAUUUCGGACGCAAGAGCGCAAGGGUCGACGCGCGAGGGGAGAAUGGCUCGUAGACAACAACAACUAAACAUUUUGGAUGCAAACGACGAAGUAGAGGGUUCCUCUUAUGGUACUGGAAUAGAUGACACGAUAUAAUUUGGACCAGAGAUAUCUUGUACACCGCCAAGCACUUUUUUUUGGAGGUCUCUCCGCAGAUCAUCUACAGGAGCUAGGGGAUCCAAUAUUUUUUUAAAUAAACCGCUGAUUGUUAAAGUACAUUAAAUUCUCUUUAAGUACAUUUUUUCAAUUAAUGUAUAAAAUAAAAUGCCUCGUCGGAAAAAAUUCACAAAAAAA